Molecule: ribosomal RNA, 497 nt
Filed under: uncultured bacterium
Lineage: Bacteria
Description: partial 16S ribosomal RNA
Rfam family: Bacterial small subunit ribosomal RNA
Source: RNAcentral
GAUGAACGCUGGCGGCGUGCCUAAUACAUGCAAGUCGAGCGAACAGACGAGGAGCUUGCUCCUCUGACGUUAGCGGCGGACGGGUGAGUAACACGUGGAUAACCUACCUAUAAGACUGGGAUAACUUCGGGAAACCGGAGCUAAUACCGGAUAAUAUAUUGAACCGCAUGGUUCAAUAGUGAAAGACGGUUUUGCUGUCACUUAUAGAUGGAUCCGCGCCGCAUUAGCUAGUUGGUAAGGUAACGGCUUACCAAGGCAACGAUGCGUAGCCGACCUGAGAGGGUGAUCGGCCACACUGGAACUGAGACACGGUCCAGACUCCUACGGGAGGCAGCAGUAGGGAAUCUUCCGCAAUGGGCGAAUGCCUGACGGAGCAACGCCGCGUGAGUGAUGAAGGUCUUCGGAUCGUAAAACUCUGUUAGUAGGGAAGAACAAAUGUGUAAGUAACUAUGCACGUCUUGACGGUACCUAAUCAGAAAGCCACGGCUAACUACGUG